GAUGAACGCUGGCGGCACGUCUGACACAUGCAAGUCGAACGACAAGCCGGUGCUUGCACCGGUGGAGGAGUGGCGAACGGCUGAGUAACACGUAGGAACCUACCCUGUGGUCUGGGAUAACGGACCGAAAGGACCGCUAAUACCGGAUAUAUCCCUCGGGAGGAAAGCUCCGGCGCCAGAGGAGGGGCCUGCGGCGUAUUAGCUUGAUGGUGAGGUAACGGCUCACCAUGGCAGUGAUGCGUAGCUGGUCUGAGAGGACGAUCAGCCAGACUGGGACUGAGACACGGCCCAGACUCCUACGGGAGGCAGCAGUUCAGAAUCUUGCACAAUGGGCGAAAGCCUGAUGCAGCGAUGCCGCGUGUGCGAAGAAGGCCUUCGGGUCGUAAAGCACUGUCAGAGGGGAAGAUAGUGACGGUACCCUCAAAGGAAGCCACGGCUAAUUACGUGCCAGCAGCCGCGGUAAUACGUAAGUGGCGAGCGUUAUCCGGAAUUACUGGGCGUAAAGCGUUCGUAGGCGGCGUAGCAAGUUGGAUUUGAAAUCCCGGGGCUCAACUCCGGAGCCGGAUCCAAAACUGCUAUGCUUGAGCAGAUCAGAGGGCAGUGGAAUUCCCGGUGUAGCGGUAAUAUGCGUAGAGAUCGGGAGGAACACCAGUGGCGAAGGCGGCUGCCUGGGGUCUUGCUGACGCUGAGGAACGAAAGCUAGGGGAGCGAACGGGAUUAGAUACCCCGGUAGUCCUAGCUGUAAACGAUGGGCACUAGGUGUCGGGAGCUUCGACCCUCUCGGCGCCGCCGCUAACGCAUUAAGUGCCCCGCCUGGGGACUACGGCCGCAAGGCUAAAACUCAAAGGAAUUGACGGGUCCCCGCACAAGCAGUGGAGCAUGUGGUUUAAUUCGAUGCUACGCGAAGAACCUUACCAGGGCUUGACAUCCCGGUGACCGCCCAUAGAAAUAUGGGCUUCCCUUCGGGGCGCCGGUGACAGGUGGUGCAUGGCUGUCGUCAGCUCGUGCCG
RNAcentral lists this ribosomal RNA (1010 nucleotides) under uncultured bacterium. RNAcentral describes it as "bacterial SSU rRNA". It matches the Rfam family "Bacterial small subunit ribosomal RNA", at positions 28 to 1067 of the family's 1533-position model. The record is from RNAcentral.